This 174-nucleotide long non-coding RNA is filed under the name Anser brachyrhynchus (Pink-footed goose). Its description in RNAcentral is "lncRNA (ENSABRG00000000769.1)". Lineage: Eukaryota; Metazoa; Chordata; Aves; Anseriformes; Anatidae. The record is from RNAcentral.
UCAGUGUGUCCCAAAUUCAGAAGCAGAAAAUGGAUGUACUUCUACCUCCUCGGAAGAUGACCGGAAGAAAAAAUGAAAAAUAUCAAAGGCAAGUAAACCUUGAUUUGUCACAAUGGAUUAUUUUGCUUUUAUUUAAGACUUUUUAAAUUAUAUAUUUAAUAAUACACAAUUAUG